Molecule: long non-coding RNA, 661 nt
Organism: Puntigrus tetrazona (Sumatra barb)
Lineage: Eukaryota; Metazoa; Chordata; Actinopteri; Cypriniformes; Cyprinidae
Exons: 3
Source: RefSeq, a predicted model, not a curated record
AUGAAUUAGCCAUUUCAAUUACUUUUCGAAUUUCAAUUUCAUUUCCAAUUAGUAUUAGUAUUUCAGUUACAAUUACUAAAUCUGUGAACGCUGGAUAAGACAAUGUUCCACGCACUUUUUAAAAUCCAUAGUAAACGAAGAAGUGGUGUGUUUUUAGCUCUGAGGGACCUAACUAUAAUAAAGAGACAUGUUCAAACAGAUGAAAUGUGCGCAGUGGCUUUGAGAUCACAUGCCAUGCACCAGACCGGUUUUACAUGUUGAUUAAAAAUAAACUUGCCUGGGGCGUAACGUAACCUCUCAUCGGAGCAUGAAACAAACACGUAUAGGACACACUAUUACAGAAUAUUGUUUAAAGCUGAAGUGAAUAUGAACGCAUGUAGAUGGACGGGCUUCGGGUGAGCUGAAGGACAUUCAGAGACGAUGGCUGACAGAGAAGGCAGAUCGGGUGAUCGGAGGACCAGGGAAAGACGUGAAAGGAGCCAGAGCAUGGGAGAACGUCCCAUGAUGGACAGUAGUGCAGAUUUGGAUAGCCCUGACAGUAAGUAAAAGAAGUGUGAUAUUUUUAUAUUUUUAAUGAGCUGUGAGUGACGCCUGCUAAUACAUAAAUUUAGAUAUUAGAAGUAUUUAGACAUUUUUGAUGAGCUCUAAUGUCACAUGGACU